RNAcentral lists this ribosomal RNA (748 nucleotides) under uncultured bacterium. Its description in RNAcentral is "bacterial SSU rRNA". It matches the Rfam family "Bacterial small subunit ribosomal RNA", at positions 8 to 798 of the family's 1533-position model. The record is from RNAcentral.
AGAGUUUGAUCAUGGCUCAGGACGAACGCUGGCGGUGUGCUUCACACAUGCAAGUCGAACGAGGUAGCAAUACCUAGUGGCGGACGGGUGAGUAACGCGUGGGAAUCUGCCUUUAGAUGGGGGAUAACGAGCCGAAAGGUUCGCUAAUACCGCAUAUGCCGUAAGGUGAAAGGAGUAAUCCGUCUAGAGAUGAGCCCGCGUCCGAUUAGCUAGUUGGUAGGGUAAAGGCCUACCAAGGCGACGAUCGGUAGCUGGUCUGAGAGGAUGAUCAGCCACAAUGGGACUGAGACACGGCCCAUACUCCUACGGGAGGCAGCAGUGGGGAAUUUUACGCAAUGGGGGAAACCCUGACGUAGCGACACCGCGUGAGCGAAGAAGCCCCUUGGGGUGUAAAGCUCUGUCGGCUGGAACGAAAAAAAUGACGGUACCAGCAAAGGAAGCAUCGGCUAACUACGUGCCAGCAGCCGCGGUAAGACGUAGGAUGCAAGCGUUGUCCGGAUUUAUUGGGCGUAAAGAGUUCGUAGGUGGUUUGUCAAGUCUGAUGUUAAAGAUCGGGGCUCAACCCUGGGACUGCAUUGGAUACUGGCAGACUUGAGUAUGGUAGAGGCUAGUGGAAUUCCCAGUGUAGCGGUGAAAUGCGUAGAUAUUGGGAAGAACACCGGUGGCGUAGGCGACUAGCUGGGCCAUAACUGACGCUGAGGAACGAAAGCCAGGGGAGCGAAUGGGAUUAGAUACCCCGGUAGUCCAA